CGGGGGGGAGGGGCGGCGAGGCGAGGCCUGCGGAGCGGAGGAAGACAAACAUAAAGAUGAAGUGCUUAAUUCAAGGUCACACAAUGUCGGGGAUGGACCUCCAGAUUUCCUUACUGUACUUAUCCUGUAUUACAUGAAGGAAAUGAAAUAAAAAGACUGCAGCCCCACUCCCAGCUACUCAGUGAGGUGGUAGCUAGAGACGGAGUCUUGCUAUGUUGCCCAGGCUGGUCUUGAACUCCUCACCUCAAGCGAUCCUCCCGUCUUGGCCUCCCAAGUGUCAGGAUUACGGGCAUGUGCUAUCACACCCAACCUGAUACAUUGCCUUUAUAAAUUUUUUUUUCUUUAUUCUAAAAACCAGAAAAAACAAAACUGGAUACAUGUGCAGAACAUGCAGGUUUGUUACAUAGCUGUACGUGUGCCAUGGUGGUUUGCUGCACCUAUUGACCUAUCCUGUGAGACGUGGUCUUGUAACACAGUGGUUAAGAAUGUGACUUUGGAGCCAGCCUGCUAGGGGCUGAAUUCUGACUCAGCCAUUUACUAACUGUGUGACCUUAGGUGGAGUCUCACUCUGUAGCCCAAGCUGGAGUGGCGUGAUCUCGACUCACUGCAACCUCCGCCUCCUGGGAUCAAGUGAUUCUCGUGCCUCAGCCUCCUGAGUAGCCGGGACUACAGGUCACAGAAUUUUCCACACUCCUUGACAGAGGUGCUUAACCCUUAUCCAUCAGCAUUCUCAGACAGCACCUCCGGUUAGGGACAGUAUCUGACCGUCCGACAUCCCUGCAGCCCCCAUGUGUCACACAGACUCAGCCUCAGGUAGAUGGUUUCCGUAGAUGGUGGCUUUCUUUGGACCCUUGACAUCAACCAGUUACUA
Molecule: long non-coding RNA, 871 nt
Filed under: Homo sapiens (human)
Lineage: Eukaryota; Metazoa; Chordata; Mammalia; Primates; Hominidae
Description: PCBP1 antisense RNA 1
Source: RNAcentral